UUUCCGUAGGUGAACCUGCGGAAGGAUCAUUAUUGAAUAUGCUUGAUAGGUUGUAGCUGGCUCUUCGGAGUAUGUGCACGCUUAUCUUGACUUAAUUCAUCCACCUGUGCACCUUUUGUAGUCUUGGGGGUUGAGAUCGGUCGGCUAUCGGAUGGCCAAGGUCAUUCCGGAUGUGAGGAAUGCUGAGUGCGAAAGCAUACAGCUCUUCUCGAAUGACUUGUCUUCCUCGAGUACUAUGUAUUCAUAUACCACAUAGUAUGUUGUAGAAUGUGAUCAAUGGGUCUAUGUACCUAUAAUAAUUAUAUACAACUUUCAGCAACGGAUCUCUUGGCUCUC
RNAcentral lists this unclassified non-coding RNA (336 nucleotides) under plant metagenome. Its description in RNAcentral is "partial contains small subunit ribosomal RNA, internal transcribed spacer 1, and 5.8S ribosomal RNA". The record is from RNAcentral.